AUUGAACGCUGGCGACAGGCUUAACACAUGCAAGUCGAGCGGGGGGAGGUAGCUUGCUACCGGACCUAGCGGCGGACGGGUGAGUAAUGCUUAGGAAUCUGCCUAUUAGUGGGGGACAACAUCUCGAAAGGGAUGCUAAUACCGCAUACGUCCUACGGGAGAAAGCAGGGGAUCUUCGGACCUUGCGCUAAUAGAUGAGCCUAAGUCGGAUUAGCUAGUUGGUGGGGUAAAGGCCUACCAAGGCGACGAUCUGUAGCGGGUCUGAGAGGAUGAUCCGGCACACUGGGACUGAGACACGGCCCAGACUCCGACGGGAGGCAGCAGUGGGGAAUAUUGGACAAUGGGGGGAACCCUGAUCCAGCCAUGCCGCGUGUGUGAAGAAGGCCUUAUGGUUGUAAAGCACUUUAAGCGAGGAGGAGGCUACUUUAGUUAAUACCUAGAGAUAGUGGACGUUACUCGCAGAAUAAGCACCGGCUAACUCUGUGCCAGCCGCCGCCGUAA
Molecule: ribosomal RNA, 501 nt
Filed under: uncultured bacterium
Lineage: Bacteria
Description: partial 16S ribosomal RNA
Rfam family: Bacterial small subunit ribosomal RNA
Source: RNAcentral